RNAcentral lists this ribosomal RNA (491 nucleotides) under uncultured bacterium. RNAcentral describes it as "partial 16S ribosomal RNA". It matches the Rfam family "Bacterial small subunit ribosomal RNA", at positions 29 to 506 of the family's 1533-position model. The record is from RNAcentral.
AGUGAACGCUGGCGGUAGGCCUAACACAUGCAAGUCGAACGGCAGCACAGUAAGAGCUUGCUCUUACGGGUGGCGAGUGGCGGACGGGUGAGGAAUACAUCGGAAUCUACUUUUUCGUGGGGGAUAACGUAGGGAAACUUACGCUAAUACCGCAUACGACCUACGGGUGAAAGCAGGGGAUCUUCGGACCUUGCGCGAUUGAAUGAGCCGAUGUCGGAUCAGCUAGUUGGCGGGGUAAAGGCCCACCAAGGCGACGAUCCGUAGCUGGUCUGAGGGGAUGAUCAGCCACACUGGAACUGAGACACGGUCCAGACUCCUACGGGAGGCAGCAGUGGGGAAUAUUGGACAAUGGGCGCAAGCCUGAUCCAGCCAUACCGCGUGGGUGAAGAAGGCCUUCGGGUUGUAAAGCCCUUUUGUUGGGAAAGAAAAGCAGCAGGUUAAUACCCCGCUGUUCUGACGGUACCCAAAGAAUAAGCACCGGCUAACUUCGU